AAAACAUAGCGCCAGAAAAGCUUAGCUGAGCACAGCAUAGCUCAAUGUUGAUUGGUCACCCUAAAGUUAGGCCCCCUACUAUUAAUAACUAUGCAACUCACCCCUUCUAUAAUUCGAUCCAGAACACAUUAU
This is a long non-coding RNA of Maniola jurtina (meadow brown), 132 nucleotides long. RefSeq lists it as uncharacterized. The transcript is spliced from 2 exons. Lineage: Eukaryota; Metazoa; Arthropoda; Insecta; Lepidoptera; Nymphalidae. The record is from RefSeq and is a predicted model, not a curated record.